This 2289-nucleotide ribosomal RNA is filed under the name Triticum aestivum (bread wheat). Its description in RNAcentral is "partial small subunit ribosomal RNA". Lineage: Eukaryota; Viridiplantae; Streptophyta; Magnoliopsida; Poales; Poaceae. The record is from RNAcentral.
AUGGAGGCCAUUGCGUUUGGUGCCUUCUUCAAUACCAUCUUGCCCAAGCUUCGGGAAAAGCUUAAAGACUCUAAGCGAGACAAGAUUGCCAUCAACGCUAACAUUCAAGAUUUCAAGAGUGAGGCUGAAGCGGUGCAAUCACAACUUGAAGAUGGCUACUCCCGGCAAGAAGGUGACAAAGCCAGGCUGAUGAGGAUCGAUCGGCGACUCAAACUCUUGUGUCAAGAUACGCAGGACUGCAUACACCAGUUCCUGCAAAAGCAAAAGGGAUCUAUGGAGAGCUGCACCGAGUUCGCAACCAAGAUCCAGGGAUUCAACGACAAUGUCCAGAAGCUACACGAGGAAGUCAAGACAUGCAUCGCUUCACGAAAAGGGCCACGCCAACCUUCUGAGCGGUAUGUUCCUUCCGACAAGGCCGUGGGCAUGUUGGAGCGCCUCGCUGAGCUGCAGGAGCUUGUACAGCUAACCGGCAGGCAAGAGGCGCCCAAGGUGAUCUCCAUCGUUGGCUUCAGUGGCCUAGGCAAGACCCUUCUUGCCAAACAAUUCUAUUCCAGUGAAGCCGGCAUGAAAUUUCCUCAUCGGGCAUGGGUUCCUUCGGCUGGCACCCAUGAGGAGGUUGUCAAGAACAUACUCCUGGAUAUUGACCCUCAAGGCAACCAUGACGAGGAUGCCAUGGACCUCCAGCGCCUCUGCGUCAGCCUGCAGGAUUUCCUAAGGGGCAAAGAGUACUUAAUUGUACUCGAUGACAUGAAGAGUUGGGAGAUGUGGAACAAAAUAAAAUAUGCCUUCGAGAGUGUGAAAGGCAUAGUCCUUGUAACAACGACCAUUCUGGCAGUAGCUAAUGCUUGCAGCCAAUGCAUUAACGGUUAUGUGUACAAGCUGUCACCCCUUGAUGAGAAUGAGUCUGUAAACCUGUUCAACAAAGAAUGUUAUUCGGGGGAUACUGAUUAUGCAGCAGACAUAUUGAAGAAAUGUGAUGGUCUACCACUUGCUAUAGUCAGCGUGGCCAAUUAUUUGCAGAGUGAGGGACCGUUGACAGGCGCUAGAUGUAAAGAUGCUUGCAACAAACUUGGUGCUCUUCUGGUACAAGACAAUGGUUGCAAGUUACCAGAAAUGCAAUGGGUGCUUAUGAAUAAAUAUACUGGUCUGCCUGGUCAUGCUAUCAGAUCCUGCUUGCUAUAUUUUUCCAUGUACAAGGGAAACAUGGAUGCACUCCCCAGGAGGAAUUCCCUGAUAAGGCGAUGGCAAGCUGAAGGGUUUGUUGAUGGGAAAACUGGAUAUGAAUAUUUGAAGACCCUCAUCAACCGCAACAUCAUUCAGUCCAUGGAAGUAAACACAGACGGAACAACAAAGAGAUGCCGACCCCCAGGAAUGAUGUCCGAGUACAUUUCCCAGAUUUCCAUGUCCGAGAAUUUCGCUGCUUUGGUGUCUGAUCAAGUGGAGAUGGGAAAAAAUCGCAUCCUCAGGCUUUAUUUCGAUGAUGGCAGUGCUGAAGAUGACAUACGCAUUUCGCGCAUGGAUUUAACUUUACGUAUUGUCCUGACUCUGGCAAUUUCAGGAAUUGCAUGCAAAGCUAUUUUAAAAUUUGAACAGUAUGUGCAACUGGUAGUUUUGGAUCUGAAAGAAUGUACAAAUCUGGAUGAUAAUCAUGUCGAAGCUAUAUGCAAGCUGUUGCUGCUGAAAUAUUUGAGCCUCGGGAAGACUAUAGGGAACAUACCAAGGGCCAUUGGCAAACUGGAACUGUUAGAGACGCUCGAGAUGAGGACAAACAAAACAGUAAAGGUGUUUAAAGAAGUUCUCCUGCUACCCAACUUAAUACACCUCCUUGGAAAUUUUGUGCUUAGAAUGACACCGGAUGAUGAUCUAUAUAAUUUCUUGGAGAAAAAGAGUGUCUUAGAGACGAUUACAGCACACGUCAGCCAAACUGCAAAAGGAUUUCCGGAUCUGAUGCUUCAUAUGAGUCAGUUGAGGAAGGUGAAAAUAUUUUGCACUGGAGGAGCAGAUGUCACGGACAAGGAAGUUCUGACAACGGCGAUCAAGAAAUUCAUUCAAAGAGGCACGUAUAAUGUUAAUGGUGGCCACAGUCCUUCUCUAUCAAUAGACUUCGAUAACUGCACGUCCAUUGUUCGGGAAUGUCUAUUAGGUCCUGGCAGUCUGACCUCACUCAAAUUGCACGGCAAAUGGACACCAUUUGUGGGUGCUAAUCCAGAUUUUACAAAGAUAUCUGGUAUUACCAAGCUGUGUCUUUCACACACUUACCUGAGCGGGAAUAAAGUCCUUGCUGGAUGA